This 253-nucleotide ribosomal RNA is filed under the name uncultured bacterium. RNAcentral's name for it is "partial 16S ribosomal RNA". It matches the Rfam family "Bacterial small subunit ribosomal RNA", at positions 524 to 776 of the family's 1533-position model. The record is from RNAcentral.
GACGUAGGGCGCGAGCGUUGUCCGGAUUUACUGGGCGUAAAGGGCGCGUAGGCGGCAAUUCAAGUCAGUUGUGAAAUCUCCGAGCUUAACUCGGAACGGUCAACUGAUACUGUUUUGCUAGAGUACAGAAGGGGCAAUCGGAAUUCUUGGUGUAGUGGUGAAAUGCGCAGAUAUCAGGAGGAACACCGGUGGCGAAGGCGGGUCUCUGGGCCGAUACUGACGCUGAGGAGCGAAAGCAUGGGUAGCGAACAGG